AGCCCCUGUGUCCAACCUGGCCUUGAACACUGCCAGGGAUGGGGCAGCCACAGCUUCUCUGGGCACCCUGUGCCAGCGCCUCAGCACCCUCACAGGGAAGAGCUUCUGCCUAAGAGCUCAUCUCAGUCUCCCCUCGGGCAGGGUAAAGCCAUUCCCCCUUGUCCUGUCCCUACAGGCCCUCAUCAAGAGCCCCUCUCCAGGUUUCUUCUUGUCCCCUUUAGGCACUGGGCUCUCUUCUGCUGUCUUCCAGUAUAGUGUGAAAUCAGCAGGACAUGAAUACAAACCACAAUGUCCAUGAACUAAACAUUAAAGACGGUUUAAAUGUUCCUCUAUAUUUCAACAGCAUCAAAGUUGCUCCUUCCUCCAUUUCCAGGACAGUCUGGGAUCCCUACAUGCUGCUGCCCUUCCUCCCCAGCCUGUUGGAUAAGCAGCAGCAGGAUCUGACCUCUCCUGAACACUGGAGUGCUCUGUUCUAAGCAUGAUGUCCUGCUCCAGUUCUGUCGUUAGAUAACAAAAUUCAGAGCACAGGAGCACUCUGCUUCUCCGUGGCACUGCGCAGUGCAGAUGUAAGGCUGACUGCUGUGCAACUUGCUUGACAUCUUCUCACGCUGUAGUGGCAGCUGAUAAAGAGAGCAAUGACUUUUAUAAGUGUGUAAUCUGUCCAUUUACUAUCAGGCCUCUAUUUCACGAGUCCACUGGCUGCAGCUCCUCAGUAGCAGCUUCAAAACCAGUGGCUUUGGAUGCUGCUGUGCCACAAAGGAUCCCCAGAAACCUACCCCAAUGGCAUUCCAAAUCCAGGUUGUUCCCUAGGGCUGCUCGAGGCCGUGCUCUGCAUAUCCCUGCAGGAGUGCUCACACAGCAGGAUGCCAGGUAGAGCUGUAACUGCUGCCUCUGCAGCUUCUGUGCAAGGUGCGCAGGCUGAAGUCAGUGUGGAUUUAUAGAAAAUGAUGGAUUUUCUCUACUGAAAGCUAAGGAAUUCUAGCGAGGCCCCUGUUCCUU
Long non-coding RNA from Neopsephotus bourkii (Bourke's parrot), 999 nucleotides. RefSeq lists it as uncharacterized. Lineage: Eukaryota; Metazoa; Chordata; Aves; Psittaciformes; Psittacidae. The transcript has 3 exons. The record is from RefSeq and is a predicted model, not a curated record.